CCUGGAGAUAGAGUGCACUUCUAGGGUAUAAUCUUCACAAAACCCCCCCUUGGUUCUAACCAAGGCAGUUGGUUCUACUAAACUCUUAGAGAAAUUAUAUUAAUAAACGAAGUGAAUUGAAAUAUCUUAGUAACUUCAGGAAAAUAAAUCAAACGAGAUUCUAUGAUUAGUGUGAACGAAAGUAGAAAAGCCUAAAUAUUAAGCAAGUAAAAUGGAUUAAUCUGUUUGAAUAUAGGGGAACCUUCCUCUAAGGCUAAAUAUGAUAUAUAAGCGAUAGUGAAUGAGUACCGUGAGGGAAAUGUUUUGAAAUAGUAGUUUUAUAAGCAGCUCGAGUGAAGUUUAAAUAAAAAACAAGAGCGUACCUUUUGUAUAAUGGGUCAGCAAGUUAAUAUUAGAUGCGAGCAUAGCACUAUGCCUAGAUAAACCGAUUAUGAAAUAAUGAAUAAGUAUCUAGUAUUAGACCCGAAGCCUAGUGAUCUUACCAUAAUCAGGAUUAUAAAAGUCCGAACGGGUUAUCGUUGUAAAGAUAUCCGAAGAAUUGUGGUAAGUUAGUGAAAGACAAAACUGACUAGGAUAGCUGGUAAAAAUUAGUGUGAGCUACUAAUUAGGCCAGUAAGUAGAAGUGAACCUUCUGCUAUAGACCAUCAAAUUGACGGGAAAGCCCUAAAGCAAAUUCAACCAAACAAAUGUGGUAACACAUUUGUGGCGCAGGUAAUGACUCGCGGUAAGGUAACAUCGAAAUUGAUAGCGAAAGUGAAUGGGUAAUCCGCAGCCAAGCACCUUAUGGGUGUGCAGUUCAUCGACUAAAUGUUGGUUGGCGCAAGCUUAAGAUAUAGUCAAGCCUCAUCCAAAAGGAUGCAGAAUAAUAAAAUACUUUUUUUAUUUAAUUUUCCGCCUUUAAGGCACAUAUCUAAUCCUUUAUUACCUUCAAAUAGACUUAGGUUGUACCUUUUGUAUAAUAGGUAAACAAUCCUAAAGGAAAACAUAUCUUCUAAUGUUUUACAUUAGAGGUAUGAAUCCGAAUCUUUUUUUUUAAUAGCCGAUAAACUAUCACAAGUAAAUACUAAUACAGAAUUAGAAUAUGCAAGUUUAACUGAUGCAGCUAAGGCUAUAGCUGUUAGUAGAACAGCUGUAAAAAAAGCUCUUGACACAGGUAGAACUGUAAAAGGAUAAUAUAUAGUAGCCACAAAAAAUUAAAUAAAAAAAGUAUUUUAUUAUUUGUAAAUGGAUAGCUAAUAGCUAUUUAGGGAGAAGGACCUCAGCUCGGCCCUUUAAAGUUUUAUUCAUAUUCACAAUAAAAAAAAUAAAGGCUAAAGAUGGUCAUAUCUGUUUCCGCGAAACCUAUAUAAGUAGGUAAUUCAAGUAACAUCUUAGCAGGUACAGAACUGUGAUCUCAGGUAAAAUUAUAUUAUUUUAGAAAUCUAAAAUAAUAAUUUUGCAUACAUCGGGGGAUCGUGAAGAUUUUAUCGGUGAGUAUUUGCUCUCGGAAGGGCAAAGAUGAUUAUUGAAUAAUCAGACAUAGUACGAUAAGGUUGUAUGUCUAAAGGGAAACAGCCCAGAACAAGUGUUUAAGGUUCCAAAAUUAUUGUUAAGUGAAAUUAAGGAAGUAUUUUUCAAAUACAACCAGGAAAUAGGCUUAGAAGCGGCCAUUUUUUGAAGACCUCGUAACAGAGCACUGGUUCAAUUAUAAAUUAAUAUAAAUUUAUACAAGUUAAAAGCGCCAAAAAUAUAACGGAUCUAAAACAAUAUACCGAAACCUUGUCCAUAUUUAUAAAUAUAUAGGAAGUUAAAGAUCUGGGUGAAAUCUUUAUUUUUUUUUUUGAAAUAAAGAUUUCACUUUUUAUAGUAAUAAUAAUAAUUAACAAAUCUUUAAGCUUCAUGCUUCAAUAUGUAGCAAAGAUAUUGUAUUUAUGGGGUAGCGGAACGUUGGGGAAAUCUUAGAUUUUUACUUUUUAAGUAAAAAAAUUAGAUAACCCAAGUGAGAAUGCUGACAUGAGUAACGAAAAAGGGGAAUACCCUCGCCUUAAGCUUAUGGAAUUUCUUUAAAGUAACGGCCUCUAAGUUUACAGACCUGUCCUAAAGGAUUAAACGAUGAGAAAAUCUUCCUUAUGUAUGACAACCUUAGAAUAAUAGUUAAUCUGUUUAAUAGAUAAGAAGAUUUUGUAUUAACAGUUAAUGCAUUUGAAGAUUUUGUAUUAACACUGUUAAUGCAUUUGAAGGUCAUGUUAAAUGCGCCAUGAUAUAUCAAAUCUGGUCUACUAACCAGAUUUGAUAUACCGACCAGUAAAGCUGGAUACUCUGUCACUGCUUGCCACAGGGCCUAUGAUCGUUGCAGGCCUACUGGUUCUUAUUUUUUAGUAUUGAAUUAUAUGGCAAGUAUUUUCAGUAUAUCCCUUUUCCCUGCAGAGGAAAUAUCCCCUCUAAAGGAAACUUAGGGAAAUAAACUGUAUAGUAACAAAGGAUGCUAGACAGAUAUUAAAUAGAUUAAUAGUUGAGAGUACUAAGCGUUCUGGAAAAAGACAUAAGGGUAAAACCGUACCUAGAAACUACCACCAGUAAGCAAGUAGAGAAUACGAAGGCGUUUGAGCUAACAAUCAUUAAGGAACUCGGCAAAUUGACUCCGUAACUGCGGGAUAAGGAGUGCCAUUCUAACUGGAUAAUAUCAGAUUUAGAAGAGGAGGCACAGAAUGGUGUUGUACGACUGUUUAAUUAAAACACAGCACUUUGCGUAAGAUGACAAAUCGAAGUAUAAAGUGUGCCGUCUGCCCGAUGAUGGAUGGUUAACGAAUUUAUUUAGCUGACUAAAAUAGGUUAGGUUUUGAAGGAACCCCCAUUCAAUGGCGGCCUUAUCUAUAAGGGUCCUAAGGUAGCGGAAUACCUUGGCCGUUAAAUGCGGUCUUUGCAUGUUUUCUCUUUAGUUUAGGUAACUAAAGUAAAGGAUUAACCAAUAAAAAAAAAUAAAUAAGGGAGAAAUCUCUCCAAGCC
Molecule: non-coding RNA, 2985 nt
Filed under: Neofusicoccum parvum UCRNP2
Lineage: Eukaryota; Fungi; Ascomycota; Dothideomycetes; Botryosphaeriales; Botryosphaeriaceae
Description: Bacterial large subunit ribosomal RNA
Rfam family: Bacterial large subunit ribosomal RNA
Source: Rfam by way of RNAcentral